CACCGCCCGUCACACCACGAGAGUUUGUAACACCCGAAGUCGGUAGGGUAACCUUUAUGGAGCCAGCCGCCGAAGGUGGGACAGAUAAUUGGGGUGAAGUCGUAACAAGGUAGCCGUAUCGGAAGGUGCGGCUGGAUCACCUCCUUUCUAAGGAA
Molecule: ribosomal RNA, 155 nt
Filed under: Listeria monocytogenes
Lineage: Bacteria; Bacillati; Bacillota; Bacilli; Caryophanales; Listeriaceae
Description: partial 16S ribosomal RNA
Rfam family: Bacterial small subunit ribosomal RNA
Source: RNAcentral